CGGCAGGCCUAAUACAUGCAAGUCGAGGGGUAACAGGAAGUGCUUGCACUUCGCUGACGACCGGCGCACGGGUGAGUAUCGCGUAUACAAUCUGCCUCAUACUAGAGCAUAGCCCGAAGAAAUUUGGAUUAAUACUCUAUAGUAUCUAAAAAAGGCAUCUUUUUUAGAUUAAAGGUUACGGUAUGAGAUGAGUAUGCGUUCUAUUAGUUUGUAGGUGUGGUAACGGCACACCUAGACUACGAUAGAUAGGGGCCCUGAGAGGGGGACCCCCCACACUGGUACUGAGACACGGACCAGACUCCUACGGGAGGCAGCAGUAAGGAAUAUUGGUCAAUGGACGAAAGUCUGAACCAGCCAUGCCGCGUGCAGGAUGACGGCCCUACGGGUUGUAAACUGCUUUUAUACAGGAAGAAAAACUUUCUCGUGAGAGAGCUUGACGGUACUGUAAGAAUAAGGAUCGGCUAACUCCGUGCCAGCAGCCGCGGUAAUACGGAGGAUCCAAGCGUUAUCCGGAAUCAUUGGGUUUAAAGGGUCCGUAGGUGGACAGGUAAGUCAGAGGUGAAAUCCUGCAGCUCAACUGUAGAACUGCCUUUGAUACUGUUUGUCUUGAGUUAUUGUGAAGUGGUUAGAAUGUGUAGUGUAGCGGUGAAAUGCAUAGAUAUUACACAGAAUACCGAUUGCGAAGGCAGAUCACUAACAAUUAACUGACACUGAUGGACGAAAGCGUGGGUAGCGAACAGGAUUAGAUA
Molecule: ribosomal RNA, 749 nt
Filed under: uncultured Flavobacteriaceae bacterium
Lineage: Bacteria; Pseudomonadati; Bacteroidota; Flavobacteriia; Flavobacteriales; Flavobacteriaceae
Description: bacterial SSU rRNA
Rfam family: Bacterial small subunit ribosomal RNA
Source: RNAcentral